RNAcentral lists this transfer RNA (72 nucleotides) under Chelonia mydas (Green sea turtle). It matches the Rfam family "tRNA". From Rfam's summary of the family: Transfer RNA (tRNA) molecules are approximately 80 nucleotides in length. Lineage: Eukaryota; Metazoa; Chordata; Testudines; Cheloniidae. The record is from Rfam by way of RNAcentral.
GGCAGUGUUGCCUAAAGGGUAGGGUGCUGACCUGGCACUCUACAGACCUGGGUUCCAUUCCCGGCUCUGCCG